AAAUCAGGGUGGAAUAUAAUCACUGUUCUCAAAUAUCCCAAUAUUCCUUAUGGGGAAGAAAGAUUAAACUUGUUCUGCUUGGUCCCAGAAGUCAGAGCUAAAUUCAUUGUGUUUGGCAUUGGCAAAAGAGGCUAGAAGAGAAAACUUACUAACAACUGGAGAUGUUCAAAAGUGGAGCAGCCUGCCUCAGGAAGCAGAGGAGACCUUCAGGCUUCAGGCUUAGAUGGCCACUCAGGGAUAUUGGAGAGAGGAUUUCUAUUCAGAGAGAGGCUGGAUUAACUACCUCUGAGGUCCCAUCUAACUCUAAAAUUGUGAUCAAUCAAAAUGGGAAUGACCUCUGCACUGGAAAUGGAAAUUGUAUGCAUCUAUCUUGAGAAGAAAAGGACAUCUGGAUGCUGAACUGGAUGUAUAUAUGCAUGCAUGUCUCAGACAGAUCCUAAGACCAAUGACUGAAGCCAGGAUUCCUGUGAGAGACUAUUCUUCAUGUUUAUAACAUCUGACCAGACUCUAUCAUGAGAGGUUGUAGACUUUAGACAGCUACCUUUCUGUAUAUUUGGUAACUAAAGUACUGCCAGAUGUGAUUACUGAACCACUGCCAAUAUUUGAAUGAUCCUGGAAAGCAAUUUGAAUGAUCCUAGAGGUAACAUAGUGUUGAAGAAGGGAAAAUAUCCCAAUUAAAAGAAAAAGAUAAAAGAACAAACUAGAGGCCAGUGAGACUGAUUUCAAUUCUUGGGAAAAUAGUAGAAUGUGUAAUUAAAGAGACAUUUACUGAACACCUAAGGGAUGAGGUGAUUACAAAGACUCAUCCUGGCUUCAUCAAAAUUAGGUCAUGUGUCUAGACAAAUUGUAUUUUUUUUUGCAAGCUCUCUUUAUUCCCCCCCCCCCCCCCAGUUUCAAAGAGAAUCAUUAAAAUCAUGAAGUGAUGUCUUGAUUUGCAAGUGAACUGGAUUUAAGUGAGGCACAGUAGCACCAUCAUUAGACUCUCUCUUAGUCAUUGAAGUUCAGUGACAAGACAAAAAUCAGGAUGACUGGCAAUGGCCUGGGAUGUAGCAGAUGGCCUUGGCAUCUUUGAGGUCUGCCCAAGCUCUAGUACCUCACAGGGUCUGCUUCAGGUACCUUCAUGGCCAUUGGAAAGGAAGUCUUCAUCUGCUUGGGAUAGACAUCUCCCUAACUCACAGAAGGGCUUUUUGUCAUUACUCUUAACAUGAUUUAGCCCAUAUCUGCUCAGAUGGUUCUCCCUGAGUGUGACUGCUGUGCACCCUACAGCUUUUUUUUUUUUAAUUUGUUUUUUGUUAUGUGUAUAAACAAUUUUUCACAAUCUUCUGACAUUUAAAAAUUCACAUUUUCUCCUUGCCUACCUCCCCCCCCUCAAGCCAGUAAAUAGUCUGAUAUGGGUUAUAUAUGUACUUUCACACAAUACAUAUUUCCAUAUUGCUCAGGUAGACACAUCACACAUGCAAUAAAAAUCUCACAAAAUAAAUAAUGGAAGAUGGC
Molecule: long non-coding RNA, 1494 nt
Filed under: Monodelphis domestica (gray short-tailed opossum)
Lineage: Eukaryota; Metazoa; Chordata; Mammalia; Didelphimorphia; Didelphidae
Description: lncRNA (ENSMODG00000043016.1)
Source: RNAcentral